CUUCGGGGUGAGCGGCGGACGGGUGAGUAACGCGUGGGAACGUGCCCUCUUCUACGGAAUAGCCCAGGGAAACUUGGAUUAAUGCCGUAUACGCCCGAAAGGGGAAAGAUUUAUCGGAGGAGGAUCGGCCCGCGUUGGAUUAGGUAGUUGGUGAGGUAACGGCUCACCAAGCCGACGAUCCAUAGCUGGUUUGAGAGGAUGAUCAGCCACACUGGGACUGAGACACGGCCCAGACUCCUACGGGAGGCAGCGAGUGGGGAAUCUUGGACAAUGGGGAAACCCUGAUCCAGCCAUGCCGCGUGAUCGAUGAAGGCCUUAGGGUUGUAAAGAUCUUUCAGCUGGGAAGAUAAUGACGGUACCAGCAGAAGAAGCCCCGGCUAACUCCGUGCCAGCAGCCGCGGUAAUACGGAGGGGGCUAGCGUUGUUCGGAAUUACUGGGCGUAAAGCGCACGUAGGCGGAUCAGUCAGUCAGGGGUGAAAUCCCGGGGCUCAACCCCGGAACUGCCUUUGAUACUGCUGGUCUUGAGGUCG
RNAcentral lists this ribosomal RNA (531 nucleotides) under Amaricoccus sp. HAR-UPW-R2A-40. RNAcentral's name for it is "Bacterial small subunit ribosomal RNA". It matches the Rfam family "Bacterial small subunit ribosomal RNA", at positions 84 to 650 of the family's 1533-position model. The record is from Rfam by way of RNAcentral. Lineage: Bacteria; Pseudomonadati; Pseudomonadota; Alphaproteobacteria; Rhodobacterales; Paracoccaceae.